This is a long non-coding RNA of Octopus sinensis (East Asian common octopus), 141 nucleotides long. RefSeq lists it as uncharacterized. Lineage: Eukaryota; Metazoa; Mollusca; Cephalopoda; Octopoda; Octopodidae. The transcript has 3 exons. The record is from RefSeq and is a predicted model, not a curated record.
ACAAUUUAUAUUAAACCAAAUAAAUGUAUCAUCAGAAAAAGGUAAUUAAAAUUCGUUAAAAUGACAGAUUUAUCGGACUUUCAAAGAGGUCAAAUUGUUGGUGCUCGUAUCGCAGGCGCUAGGGUAACGAAAAUAGCCGAA